AGAGUUUGAUUAUGGCUCAGGAUGAACGCUAGCGAUAGGCCUAACACAUGCAAGUCGAGGGGCAGCACAUGAAGUAGCAAUACGGAUGGUGGCGACCGGCGCACGGGUGAGUAACGCGUAUGCAACCUGCCUACAACAGGGGAAUAACCCGUUGAAAGACGGACUAAUACCCCAUAACACAGGGAUCCCGCAUGGGAAUAUUUGUUAAAGAUUUAUCGGUUGUAGAUGGGCAUGCGUUCCAUUAGCUUGUUGGUGAGGUAACGGCUCACCAAGGCAACGAUGGAUAGGGGAACUGAGAGGUUUAUCCCCCACACUGGUGCUGAGACACGGACCAGACUCCUACGGGAGGCAGCAGUGAGGAAUAUUGGUCAAUGGACGCAAGUCUGAACCAGCCACGUCGCGUGAAGGAAGACGGCCCUACGGGUUGUAAACUUCUUUUGUAAGGGAAUAAAGUGCAGUACGUGUACUGUUUUGCAUGUACCUUACGAAUAAGGAUCGGCUAACUCCGUGCCAGCAGCCGCGGUAAUACGGAGGAUCCGAGCGUUACCCGGAUUUAUUGGGUUUAAAGGGUGCGCAGGCGGGAGAUUAAGUCGGCGGUGAAAUUUUGCAGCUCAACUGUAAAAGUGCCUUCGAAACUGGUUUUCUUGAGUGUGGAUGAAGUAGGCGGAAUUUGUGGUGUAGCGGUGAAAUGCAUAGAUAUCACGAGGAACUCCGAUUGCGCAGGCAGCUUACUAAACCAUAACUGACGCUCAGGCACGAAGGCGUGGGGGAUCAAACAGGAU
RNAcentral lists this ribosomal RNA (782 nucleotides) under uncultured Porphyromonadaceae bacterium. RNAcentral describes it as "bacterial SSU rRNA". It matches the Rfam family "Bacterial small subunit ribosomal RNA", at positions 8 to 778 of the family's 1533-position model. The record is from RNAcentral. Lineage: Bacteria; Pseudomonadati; Bacteroidota; Bacteroidia; Bacteroidales; Porphyromonadaceae.